Ciona intestinalis (vase tunicate) is the source of this 465-nucleotide non-coding RNA. NCBI's taxonomy places the organism in Eukaryota, Metazoa, Chordata, Ascidiacea, Phlebobranchia, Cionidae. The record is from RefSeq and is a predicted model, not a curated record.
CCACAAAGUUACAUACAUGGUAACUUGUAAGCGGGCAAGAGGUGUAUGAAACAAAACACUCAUGUUAUAACAACCAUCAUUGCCACUCCCCCAAACCAGGCACGCCCUCUUACUUGAGUAGAUUCCUCGAUCGUUCCCGUUGCUCCAACAACUUCUCGUUGGUUGCAUCAAACCUCCCGAAGAUCGGAUCCUUGGAGUCGGGUUCGGCUUUGGGGAGCGGGAGUGGCUUGCUACGGAUCUGGUGAAGCCCACAAACCUGAGCCGAGAGAGCUUUCUGAUAUCUCGAUAUUUGGUCGGCUUUUGCUCGAAGGAAUUGUUCCCGUUGAGCUGCCAAACUGGGAAGAAGCAAAAAGAAGAGCAUCUUGCUCCAACUCCUUCCUCCUCCUCUCCUCCUCGAACGACACAGGAACAUUCCUCAUGGAGCGUUGCAUGCAGAGGUAACAGAGCUCUUGUCCCGCCCGAAGA